This 495-nucleotide ribosomal RNA is filed under the name uncultured bacterium. Its description in RNAcentral is "partial 16S ribosomal RNA". It matches the Rfam family "Bacterial small subunit ribosomal RNA", at positions 28 to 505 of the family's 1533-position model. The record is from RNAcentral.
GAUGAACGCUGGCGGCGUGCCUAAUACAUGCAAGUCGAGCGAACAGACGAGGAGCUUGCUCCUCUGACGUUAGCGGCGGACGGGUGAGUAACACGUGGAUAACCUACCUAUAAGACUGGGAUAACUUCGGGAAACCGGAGCUAAUACCGGAUAAUAUAUUGAACCGCAUGGUUCAAUAGUGAAAGACGGUUUUGCUGUCACUUAUAGAUGGAUCCGCGCCGCAUUAGCUAGUUGGUAAGGUAACGGCUUACCAAGGCGACGAUGCGUAGCCUACCUGAGAGGGUGAUCGGCCACACUGGAACUGAGACACAGUCCAGACUCCUACGAGAGGCAGCAGUAGGGGAUCUUCCGCAAUGGGCGAAAGCCUGACGAAGCAACGCCGCGUGAGUGAUGAAGGUCUUCGGAUCGUAAAACUCUGUUAUUAGGGAAGAACAAAUGUGUAAGUAACUAUGCACGUCUUGACGGUACCUAAUCAGAAAGCCACGGCUAACUACG